AUUGAACGCUGGCGGCAGGCCUAUCACAUGCAUGUCGAGCGGUAACACAGGGAGCUUGCUCCCGGGUGACGAGCGGCGGACGGGUGAGUAAUGUCUGGGAAACUGCCUGAUGGAGGGGGAUAACUACUGGAAACGGUAGCUAAUACCGCAUAAUGUCGCAAGACCAAAGAGGGGGACCUUCGGGCCUCUUGCCAUCAGAUGUGCCCAGAUGGGAUUAGCUAGUAGGUGGGGUAACGGCUCACCUAGGCGACGAUCCCUAGCUGGUCUGAGAGGAUGACCAGCCACACUGGAACUGAGACACGGUCCAGACUCCUACGGGAGGCAGCAGUGGGGAAUAUUGCACAAUGGGCGCAAGCCCGAUGCAGCCAUGCCGCGUGUAUGAAGAAGGCCUUCAGGUUGUAAAGUACUUUCAGCGGGGAGGAAGGUGUUGAGGUUAAUAACCUCAGCAAUUGACGUUACCCGCAGAAGAAGCACCGGCUAACUCCGUGCCAGCAGCCGCCGUAA
RNAcentral lists this ribosomal RNA (504 nucleotides) under uncultured bacterium. RNAcentral describes it as "partial 16S ribosomal RNA". It matches the Rfam family "Bacterial small subunit ribosomal RNA", at positions 30 to 523 of the family's 1533-position model. The record is from RNAcentral.